AGUGAACGCUGGCGGUAGGCCUAACACAUGCAAGUCGAACGGCAGCACAGUAAGAGCUUGCUCUUGCGGGUGGCGAGUGGCGGACGGGUGAGGAAUACAUCGGAAUCUACUUUUUCGUGGGGGAUAACGUAGGGAAACUUACGCUAAUACCGCAUACGACCUACGGGUGAAAGCAGGGGAUCUUCGGACCUUGCGCGAUUGAAUGAGCCGAUGUCGGAUUAGCUAGUUGGCGGGGUAAAGGCCCACCAAGGCGACGAUCCGUAGCUGGUCUGAGAGGAUGAGCAGCCAGACUGGAACUGAGACACGGUCCAGACUCCUACGGGAGGCAGCAGUGGGGAAUAUUGGACAAUGGGCGCAAGCCUGAUCCAGCCAUACCGCGUGGGUGAAGAAGGCCUUCGGGUUGUAAAGCACUUUUGUUGGGAAAGAAAAGCAGCAGGUUAAUACCCCGCUGUUCUGACGGUACCCAAAGAAUAAGCACCGGCUAACUUCGUG
Molecule: ribosomal RNA, 492 nt
Filed under: uncultured bacterium
Lineage: Bacteria
Description: partial 16S ribosomal RNA
Rfam family: Bacterial small subunit ribosomal RNA
Source: RNAcentral